GACGAACGCUGGCGGCGUGCUUAACACAUGCAAGUCGAGCGGAAAGGCCCUUUCGGGGGUACUCGAGCGGCGAACGGGUGAGUAACACGUGAGUAAUCUGCCCUGCGCUCUGGGAUAGCCACCGGAAACGGUGAUUAAUACCGGAUAGGACCACUUCACGCAUGUGAUGGUGGUGGAAAGUUUUUUCGGCGCAGGAUGUGCUCGCGGCCUAUCAGCUUGUUGGUGAGGUAACGGCUCACCAAGGCUUUGACGGGUAACCGGCCUGAGAGGGUGACCGGUCACACUGGGACUGAGACACGGCCCAGACUCCUACGGGAGGCAGCAGUGGGGAAUAUUGGACAAUGGGCGGAAGCCUGAUCCAGCAACGCCGCGUGAGGGAUGACGGCCUUCGGGUUGUAAACCUCUUUCAGUACCGACGAAGCGAAAGUGACGGUAGGUACAGAAGAAGGACCGGCCAACUACGUGCCAGCAGCCGCGGUAAUACGUAGGGUCCGAGCGUUGUCCGGAAUUAUUGGGCGUAAAGGGCUCGUAGGCGGUUUGUCGCGUCGGGAGUGAAAACACCGGGCUUAACUCGGUGCUUGCUUUCGAUACGGGCAGACUAGAGGUAUGCAGGGGAGAAUGGAAUUCCUGGUGUAGCGGUGAAAUGCGCAGAUAUCAGGAGGAACACCGGUGGCGAAGGCGGUUCUCUGGGCAUUACCUGCACGCUGAGGAGCGAAAGUGUGGGGGGCG
Molecule: ribosomal RNA, 729 nt
Filed under: uncultured Actinomycetes bacterium
Lineage: Bacteria; Bacillati; Actinomycetota; Actinomycetes
Description: bacterial SSU rRNA
Rfam family: Bacterial small subunit ribosomal RNA
Source: RNAcentral